UACCACCGCCCGUNCGCUGUNCCGGGNACUGCANCUGUUUCGAGNAAGAAGUGGAGACUGCUGUAUUGGGGCUUUCGGGCUCUGGUAUGAUGGAAACCAUUUUAAUCGCAAUGGCUUGAACCGGGCAAAAGUCGUAACAAGGUAUCUGUAGGUGAACCUGCAGAUGGAUCAUCGCCGAAACCUUAUGGGUAAUGCUUUGAUCACGAGAGAUCGGUACCAAUGGAAUCAGACUUGUUCUUGAUUUCAAUCGGUUUCUCACCCCAUCUAAGCUCAUGGAGAGGUGUCUAGUCCCAAUUGGAGUCGCUUUGAGUGACGGCUAUGAAAAUUGGGUAUGUUCCCCGUGAGGGUCGAGCAUAGACUUUAUGAACAGUGCUGGAGCUGUCGCCUCACCAAAAAAUCAUCGAUAACUGGUGGCUAUGUGUGACAUUAGUCACAUAGGUAUCUGCNUGAUGCAGAGAGCCUUAAUGAGUUGUUCGUGUCAUCUGACCUACAACCGCCAGUAUCGGUAAAUCAACCCAAUUAACUUGUUUCUUGUGUCGUGUUAAUACAUACUGGCAAAGUGUAUUAGCUUUAGCGAUGGAUCGGUUGAUUCGCGUAUCGAUGAAAAACGCAGCAAGCUGCGUUAUUUACCACGAAUUGCAGACGCUUAGANGUGGUGAAGUUUUGAACGCACAGCGCCGUUGGGUUUUCCCUUCGGCACGUCUGGCUCAGGGUUGUUUAAUAAGCGAAAGUGUUGAAAGUUCAUUAAAUGAGAGUUCGGUGAUACUGACAACACUACGUCGAGCGGUGUACUGUUGAAAGUACCCCGUUCAAGUAUCUUUAUGGGGCAACAUGUCUUCUAUACGGAGACAUGAAAGAUAUUAAGAGUAUAUACCUGUGGAUGCCCACGUAUGAAAUAUGACGUGUCGUAUACACGGCUAGGAGGUAUGUCUCAGAUGAGUUUGUUAAUGCAACCUGAGCUCAGUCGUGAUUACCCGCCGAACUUAAGCAUAUCAUUCAGCGGNGAAAAGAAACUAACUAGGUC
RNAcentral lists this ribosomal RNA (1024 nucleotides) under Heterorhabditis bacteriophora. Its description in RNAcentral is "eukaryotic LSU rRNA". The stretch from base 566 to 716 matches the Rfam family "5.8S ribosomal RNA". The record is from RNAcentral. Lineage: Eukaryota; Metazoa; Nematoda; Chromadorea; Rhabditida; Heterorhabditidae.